Molecule: ribosomal RNA, 90 nt
Filed under: Eurolophosaurus divaricatus
Lineage: Eukaryota; Metazoa; Chordata; Lepidosauria; Squamata; Tropiduridae
Description: partial 16S large subunit ribosomal RNA
Source: RNAcentral
CUUUAAGCCCCAUAGCUCAACCAACCACCCAAAACUACUACCCAAAAACAAACAAACCAUUUGAGAAAACCAGUAAAGGAGAUUAAAAGU